Molecule: unclassified non-coding RNA, 341 nt
Filed under: soil metagenome
Description: partial contains 5.8S ribosomal RNA, internal transcribed spacer 2, and large subunit ribosomal RNA
Rfam family: 5.8S ribosomal RNA (bases 1-120)
Source: RNAcentral
GAUGAAGAACGCAGCAAAAUGCGAUAAGUAGUGUGAAUUGCAGAAUUCAGUGAAUCAUCGAAUCUUUGAACGCACAUUGCGCCCUUUGGUAUUCCAAAGGGCAUGCCUGUUCGAGCGUCAUUUGUACCCUCAAGCUUUGCUUGGUGUUGGGCGUCUUGUCUCUAGCUUUGCUGGAGACUCGCCUUAAAGUAAUUGGCAGCCGGCCUACUGGUUUCGGAGCGCAGCACAAGUCGCACUCUCUAUCAGCAAAGGUCUAGCAUCCAUUAAGCCUUUUUUUCAACUUUUGACCUCGGAUCAGGUAGGGAUACCCGCUGAACUUAAGCAUAUCAAUAAGCGGAGGA